GGGGAUUGCGAGUCACUGCGUUUCCGGCGCGGCUUGAGAACGUCUUAGGAACUAGUACUUACAUAAUCUCAAGUCCCUGAGGGGCCAGAGAUCCCACCACGCAAAAUAGCAUACAGACCCAAGACUUGGGGAGAGGCAGUGAGUGCAUCAGAAAUGGAUGGGUACAUCUGAUUCCCACACGCGGGGCUCAGCAUAGUUAGCAGGAGACCUUCAGAUUGAGAAAAAAUGCAAGUCUUUGUUUGGCCUCUAAUAUCUGGGAAGGAUGGAGGGAGCUCAGGAGGCACAGAAAAGAUGGCGUAUGAAUCCUGUCCGGCCUGAACCAGGCUGGAGUUGUGCCUCUGGAUAGCUUCAAGCACUGAUCAGAGUGUCAGCCCCCGCUCCUUGAACAGAUGCUUUAGAGCCUCUUCCAGUUGCCGGUUUGUUCCCUGAAGCCCCUUCACCACGUGCGCUGCCCACUCGAAGUAUUCCUGGACUCGAUGUUCUGACCAUCCUGCAUAAGAGUCGACAGAAACUUGCUAGCGUGAUGUCAAGGAAAGCACUGCCUUUUCCCCACUUCCUGGCAAGCUUGGUUCAAGGCCAUGAGUUCCUGAUGGAAUGAGCUGUCCUGAAAACUUCCCCUUGGCCCAGCUAUUGUAUUUUUACUGUAUGAAAGAAGAUCAGAG
RNAcentral lists this small RNA (662 nucleotides) under Pongo abelii (Sumatran orangutan). RNAcentral's name for it is "processed transcript". Lineage: Eukaryota; Metazoa; Chordata; Mammalia; Primates; Hominidae. The record is from RNAcentral.